GGAAGUAAAAGUCGUAACAGGGUUUCCGUAGGUGAACCUGCGGAAGGAUCAUUCAUAAUAAGUGUUUUAUGGCACUUUUUAAAUCCAUAUCCACCUUGUGUGCAAUGUCAGUCGUUCUCUUCUAUGGGAACGACCAAACAUCAACCAACUCUUUAACUCUUUGUCUGAAAAAUAUUACGAAUAAAACAAUUCAAAAUACAACUUUCAACAACGGAUCUCUAGGCUCUC
RNAcentral lists this unclassified non-coding RNA (228 nucleotides) under plant metagenome. Its description in RNAcentral is "partial contains small subunit ribosomal RNA and internal transcribed spacer 1". The stretch from base 1 to 54 matches the Rfam family "Eukaryotic small subunit ribosomal RNA", at positions 1778 to 1831 of the family's 1831-position model. The record is from RNAcentral.